This 374-nucleotide ribosomal RNA is filed under the name uncultured bacterium. Its description in RNAcentral is "bacterial SSU rRNA". It matches the Rfam family "Bacterial small subunit ribosomal RNA", at positions 29 to 404 of the family's 1533-position model. The record is from RNAcentral.
AUUGAACGCUGGCGGCAUGCCUUACACAUGCAAGUCGAACGGCAGCACGGGAGCAAUCCUGGUGGCGAGUGGCGAACGGGUGAGUAAUAUAUCGGAACGUGCCCAGUUGUGGGGGAUAGCCCGGCGAAAGCCGGAUUAAUACCGCAUACGACCUACGGGUGAAAGCGGGGGAUUCGCAAGGACCUCGCGCGAUUGGAGCGGCCGAUAUCGGAUUAGCUUGUUGGCGGGGAAAAGCCCACCAAGGCGACGAUCUGUAGCUGGUCUGAGAGGACGACCAGCCACACUGGGACUGAGACACGGCCCAGACUCCUACGGGAGGCAGCAGUGGGAAUUUUGGACAAUGGGCGCAAGCCUGAUCCAGCCAUGCCGCGUGU